Molecule: long non-coding RNA, 223 nt
Filed under: Elaeis guineensis (African oil palm)
Lineage: Eukaryota; Viridiplantae; Streptophyta; Magnoliopsida; Arecales; Arecaceae
Description: long non-coding RNA (EGUI_LNC053116)
Source: RNAcentral
GCUUUCAUCUUCUAAUGAACUCUGUUGUUAUGAUGAAGUCCUUAGGACUAUUUAGAUUCGAUAAAGAGAGGAUUUAUCGAUUAGUCCUUAAAACUGUUUAUGACCAAAUGAUAGGCUGUUAAUAAGGACGACAGCUUCUAUCGAGCAUAGGUCACUGUAGGCCAUAUGGGUUGGUUGUCCUCUUAACCAAAGAGUGUGGAGAUACUGGUAUGGCAUACAGGUG